Molecule: unclassified non-coding RNA, 5866 nt
Filed under: Hevea brasiliensis (rubber tree)
Lineage: Eukaryota; Viridiplantae; Streptophyta; Magnoliopsida; Malpighiales; Euphorbiaceae
Source: RNAcentral
GCUAAACCAACCCUUAGCGUAAACAAAGAUUCCUAAACAAAACAAAAACGUAAACAAAGAAAAGCCCGCUGUCGCUAUUUCCUGGUGUCUGCAGCCCAUUCUCGCACGGAUUCUUGGAGUUCAAUUGGGUCCCAAUUCCAAGCUCUCCCUCACGAGCUCUCCGUAUCCUUGAUCACCGACCUCUAACCGCAGGUGAAUACCCUUCUGGUUUUUGGGUGUUUUGAAGUCAAUAGCAAAUGUUGUUGUGUUGGAAUUGGCAACGCUCAUUAUGCGGGUUAGCUAUCAGCUAGACAUAAGUUAGCACAGCCCAUGAAGUAUCAGGAUAUUAUCAGUUCUCUCUUAGCCUACUCAACUCCAUUAUGGGCAACGUUGCUGGCCGUCGUUUUUGUGGUUAUAACACUUGCCUUGUCAUUUUACCUUUUGUUCGAGCACCUUUCUGCAUACAAGAACCCUGAGGAGCAAAAGUUUUUAAUUGGAGUUAUCCUAAUGGUUCCUUGUUAUGCCAUAGAAUCGGUGAGUUGUCUUAUUUGAAUUAUUUUACUGAAGUUAAAAUCUUGAAUACUUAUAGACAUGUAUCUUGUUUUAUUAUUAUUUAAGAAUUGCUCGAAAACAAAAUCUCUGCCUUAACUGUUUUAUUAAAAUUGGUUGGUGGUGAGGGGAAUAAGUUUCCAGGAUGAUGAUCGGAGGAAUGUGGAAUGUUCUUUGCGAUUGUCACAAAAAAAAGAUGUAUUUGGCAGCUGAUUACUUAUUUAUUUAUUUUUAUAACCUUGGUGUUUUAAACAGUUUGCGUCGCUGGUGAAUCCAUCAAUUAGUGUUGAUAUUGAGAUACUACGGGACUGCUAUGAAUCAUUUGCCAUGUAUUGCUUUGGAAGAUACCUUGUUGCUUGCUUGGGUAUGUCCUUUAUGGGAGUUGUUGCUAUGAAGGUUUCUGAUAUGCAAUUCCUUGUAUUUCUUAUUAUGUGUGCUUAUAUUUCUAAACUCUGUCUGGAAUUAAUUGUUUAUAUACUUUUGGUAAGUGUUGAAUAUCUAAAAUCCUGAUAGAUUGAUAUUUUUAUUUUUCCAGAAUCAAUAUUUCUACAUUUAUUUUCAAAAGAACUGUUGUGUAAGUCAAAAUCUGUAGGUUAUUGUAACAGAUAGUUGCAGUUUCCAGCUAUAGUUGCACCAAAAAUGGGGUAGUCCAUAUUGUUGGGUUCUAAAAACUUAAGAUGGCCAUCAUGGUAUGUGUGUGUGAGUUUAAAGACUACAGAAUUAAAAAGCAGGUUUAAUGAUAAAAUAAUUAAAUGGUAUUUUUUUAUAAACCUGAGCCAAAUAAUUUGAUUAUAUUGUGCUACAUGCAAGAUUGUGAUACUGUGGUUUCCUUUGAAAUGUGCAGAUAUUAAAGCAUGCCUUAAUACUUUUUUUAUGCUGCAGCUAAUGUAUAAGGGCAAUGGUCACAUAUGAUCUAAUCUUAGCCUAAAGCUGGGAGAAAUUUGCUAGUUUUUUAGUUUUGUCAGUCUACCAUUGUGCAACAAUAAAUAAGUGCAACUUGUGUUUGGAUUAGUAUCUCUUAAUAAAAUUUCUCUCAUUUUAUAUGUAGAUUUAUUUGUUUUAAAAAGUGGGAGGGUUUUGGUUGGAAAAGUGCAACUUCAUUUAUGUGUAUGAAUGAAAGACUGUAUUUGAUUCUAUAACUGCCAAGCCAAGGUAAGUUUGGAUUGUUGUUUGGAUUAGUUCUUCAGAUUUAUGAUCAUAAAUACAGAAUGUUCUUUUUUUCCAAGAUUUUAUUUGAUGUUCUCUUCUGCUGUUGAUAUUGUUAUUGCUGGCUUUUCAUUUUUCUAUUCUCUUUCAAAGGUGGGGAAGAAAGAACUAUAGAAUUUAUGGAAAGACAAGGACGUGUAAGUUCUAAGACUCCCCUUUUGGAACAUUGUUAUGAGAAUGGAAUUGUAAAGCAUCCUUUUCCAAUGAAUUAUAUCUUGAAACCUUGGAAGCUGGGUCAGUGGUUUUAUCAAGUUGUCAAGUUUGGAAUUGUUCAAUAUGUAUGUUCACUUCUCAAGAAAUUUGAUGUUUUGCUUAUGACCUUCAUUUUCAGUUGUUGCUUCCUUCUUAGCUUGAAAAAAUGAUAAGUUACUUUUUAUGUCAGAUGCUAAUCAAGUCUUUGAGUGCAAUAUUAGCAGUAGUUCUUGAAGCCUUUGGUAUAUAUUGUGAAGGGGAAUUUAAAGUGGGAUGUGGGUAAGCUGAUCUUAAUUAUUCUCUCAUUUUUUAUUGCAUAAUAUUAGCUUUCUUUUGCUGUGGGUUAGGUUUCUUUGAACUUUUUCUUUUGCAUAAGGGCAUGUGGGAGAUUGUAUCUUGUGGAUUUCUCAUGAUACAUAGAUAUGCAUAAAUCCUCUGCUUUCUCUCUCUCUCUCUCCCAUAUGUAUAUCUAUUGCUUUUAGCCAUUUUUUUCAUGAUAUCAUCCUUUUCUUUUCCCUCUUUUGUUUUUCUUUGAAUGACAAAAAUAAGAUUCCUCAUGUGCUUAUAUGCCAAGAGUAGAGGGUCAUGCAUCCCUUAGCUAACUUCAACUAGUUUGGGAUAGCGCUUAGUUUAGCUGAUUUAUUGAAAGGAUAUGAUUUUAUCUUUUACAUGGAACUACAAACAAAGAGAAAUUUUAAUCAUUCUAGAUGAAUAAAUUUUAAUCAUUCUAGAAGAAUAAUUAUAGAUGUGAAACUUGCGGCAUGCUUCCAAGCACUGUGCUAUUAGAAUGGGAAAAUGAUAGUUAACACUUUCACAAUGGAUUCAUCAUUUACAAUAGUUCUAUUUUUAUUUCUCAAUGACAUCUCACAAUCAAGGUUAGUUGGCUGAUCGCCUGAUCCUGUGAACAAUUUCAUAGAAUUUCAUUGAUAUCUUGUUUCUACAAAGAUAAUUCUAUUGUUUCUAGCGUUAUUAUAAUUUGUGCAAUGUUAUUUCAGUUGUUAUUGCAAGAAUUUGUUUUCAAAUGUUUAGUAUUCUUCACACUUCUAAACUGCCAAAUAUUCAUCAGUGAGUAAACUCUUCUGAACGAGUACCUGCUAUGAAUAUGAAAGCUCUAAUUACCUUGAAUUCCCUGUAUGAAAUUUCUAAUUGACUUAGCCUUCCUGAUUUUUUAGGUAUCCUUACAUGGCAGUGGUUCUAAACUUCAGCCAGUCAUGGGCUUUGUACUGUUUAGUUCAAUUUUACACUGCCACAAAGGAUGAACUGGCACACAUAAAGCCAUUAUACAAGUUCCUGACAUUUAAAUCUAUUGUGUUUUUGACUUGGUGGCAAGGAGUGGCAAUUGCUCUUCUCUACUCCCUUGGUUUAUUCAAAAGUCCAAUAGCUCAAGGCUUGCAAUUUAAGUCGAGUGUUCAGGACUUCAUCAUUUGUAUAGAGCAAGAAGAAAAAAAUUCUGCUCCUUCUCUGGAAAUAUCCGAGACUUGACAAGUUCUGCAUGGAUGAAAUCAUGGAUUGUCAACUGUUAGAACAAGCUUAUGGGGGUCAGCACAAAUAUAAGGAAGCAGCAUGUACUGUUCUAUGUAGGGUUGGUGCAGCAUGGCCCCAGUUUUGAAAGAAGACGAUGUUGAUUGUGUGAGAGGAGCCUGCUAUUAUAUUCUGCACAAGAAUAGGAGGGAGAGUUAAUCAGUUUGGAAACUGUAAAGACAACUAAUUGAUUCUGUGGGGAUUAAAUUAUACAGCUUUGCUGAGUUUUCAUUUGGAUAGAUGGGGUUUUGAAAUGAUGGGUAUAGAAUUUGACAGUGUGUUGAUGUUUUCUAAUUUUUCUCUUGGAAAAUAAAUCCAGCUUCAUUUCAACUGCAAUGUGGUCUUCUAAAAUGUAGGAUUGGUGCAACUAGCUGAAACAAAGAAUGCGGUUUGAUUAGUGAAGCAUAUAAAUAGUCCUGCAUUCUUAUAUUGUAGAAGGUGAUGGUCAAAGGGUGGUUCCAGUGUCCUUGGGCUUUAACCUAACUGGUAAAGGGGGGUUGAUAGCGUUUGGAUAUUCUUUAAAUUUUAAUUUUAUUUAGGAAAAAGAAAAUAAUUUCUGAGUGGAUAAGGUUGGAUGUAGGAUGUCAUUAUUUGAUGACUGAAUAGACUAAAAUGUUGAACAUAUGGCUUUGCAUCUCUUUUCUCGGGUAUAUACUGAUAGUUGUUGAUUUAUUUGUAAUGGUUUAAAUUCAUGUUAGAGAACAUGAUAUGGAGCAACCUGGCUCUUUUUGUUGUUAUAUGGAUCUCAAAUUCUCAAUCCUAUUGCCUUCUGUUUUGGUAUGCUUAAAGGAAAAACCUGCUGCCAUGGGUACUGGCAUGAAAAUGUAUUAUUGGAGUCAAAUUUGUAUCAAAUUCACCUAAUUUGGUUGAUGCAAAAAUUUAAGUAAUUAUUUUUUAGGAAUUGAAGGAAAGGGUUACAUUUUUGGGCCUAGUCAUAGUUACUAACAGUUCUUAUCCUUUUCAAUGAGGAGUUGCUGGUGAACAUUGCCAUAUGAAUUUCUGUCUUUCAGUGUGAUCUGAUGGAUGUCAUUAUCAGUAAAGGCUUAGAUAAAGUUACUUAUGAUAACUAAGCUAAAAUCAGGAGUUGUGAAAUGAACUUCAUCUUUUGGCUUCCUGUCUUUUCUGCUGCAUGAUGAAUAUAGAUACUAAUGGUUGAAAUUACCUAGUUAGGUUUCACUCGUGUAUUCUUUAAACUAGUCUCUGGAGCGUUAUAGAUGAAUAUCAUAUGGAUUUCUGCAAUAAUGUCUGCAACUCUAUAACUCUCGUUUCUGUAACUCUAUGACUCUCGUUCAAUCCAUUAAAGUAUAACAGGUCUAUUUAUUCAUCCAGCACAGAUGGGCAUUGCUUCUAUUGUUCACCUGUAUGUGUUCCCUGCCAAGCCUUAUGAGCUGAUGGGUGACUGCUUUCCUGGAACUGUUUCAGUUCUUGGAGAUUAUGCAUCUGUUGAUUGCCCUCUAGAUCCAGAUGAGGUUAGAGAUAGUGAAAGACCCACGAAGUUACGCCUUCCUCCGCCUGACUUUGAUGUCAAGAGUGGAAUGAACAUCAAAGAAAGUGUUCGGGAUGUUGUUGUUGGUGGUGGUGGAUAUGUGUUGAAUCUGCUGUUUAUCUUCUACGCAGAUUGUGAAUGAUGUGAAGUUUACUGUUAACCAAGCAGUGGAGCCUGUGGAAAAGGGUAUUACAAAGUUCAAUGAGAAAUUGCAUAAGAUUUCUCAAAAUUUAAAGAGACAUGACCAGGAUAGGAGGAGAACAAAGGAUGACAGUUGCAUAUCUUCGCCCACACGGAAGGUGAUUCGUGGGAUAGAUGAUCCUCUCUUACAUGGCAGUUACAGCGACAGUGGGGUAGCAAGGGGAAAGAAACAUCGCAGCAAAUCAGGAUAUACCAGUGGAGAGAGUGGGGGAGAAAGUAGUAGCGAUCAAAGCUAUGGUGGCUAUCAGAUCAGGGGCCGUAGAUGGGUUAUAAAAGAUUAGCAUUUUGAAUGGAGAAGAGGAUCAAAUCCAAAUGGUGCAUGUAUCCAUCUAAGUAGCCUAAGAAACCAUUUUCAUCUCAUUGGCUGGCUGUUGGUAUCCAUGUGCAGGAAUAUUUUACUUCUUCACAAGGAGAUUUAUGGUUUUAGUUAUGAUUUUUCUUCUUGUGAAGAGUUUCACAUCAAGUGCUGAGGUAUGAUGUGCCCUGGGUAGAUUGGGUUUUUAAAAAGAUGUAGUAGUUUCCAUAAGACUUGCUUGGCUGUGAAAACCAGCUUCAUGACUAAGAUAACCUUUCUUGCACUGCCCAAUGUCCAUACGCAAAUUGUUGUAUGCUGUAUGCUGUAUACUGUAUUUUCUACCGAACUAUAUUGUUGCUUGAUGGAAAAUUUAUAUUCAUUGAAUUGUAGACAUUUCAGAUUAAGGUGUCUAUUCUGUUAAUGAAUUCAUCCAUCUU